AUCUAUAUCACCACUAUCCGUUAAUGGCUAAGCAACAACUCCAUUCUCGGAGCUCAAGACAGUCCGGUGUAGAAACUUUGUUGCGACAAGGAUCCUUCGUUUAUGGGAAACUCGCAAUCGAUCUGGUUGUGCUGAUGGAAAGUCAACUCUGAUCCAGGGGUCAAUGAGCCUGCACCGACUCAAUAAAGCUCCACGAGUGGGCUGAAAGCAGGGACCUUAUCCUGAUGGAGUUCUUCCGCUUCUGCAGUCACUACUAGCUCAUGUUGAUGGCCAGUCGCUCUUUAAUUCAUUGACAGUGUCUGAACAUAAUUCCUAUGUUCUCAACUUCCAAUCGUAGUAAAAUUCUAAAAGAUACUGUGUUGAGAUGAUCUGUCGGAUACAUCUGAUGUGUUUGUUUGUUUGACGCUGAAAUGAGCAAGUUGACAAAUGUACCUGCUGCUGCAGAAUCAUAACUCAUGGCUGCUGGACAGGAAGACCCCCAGAACAUGGCCUUCCACAAUGCCUCACAGAUGGUGGGGAAGACCUUCACUUUUCAGCUCAAGCUUACAGACUUUAAUUUGUCAGCAAGCAUCAGUCUUUCACAAUCUCAUGCAUAUUUGAUCCCAACCAUCACCCACCACUUCCUAAUUUUGUUGAUCAGGUCAGGACAACUCAAGAGAUUACAUGCCAGGAGCUGGUUCUGAUUCAAAAAUCUGCACUAGGAAACUCUUUUGUCAACCUCAAACAAUAUUGAUAUUGAACCAAUCUACUAUAUCGUUCAGAAUUGUGAAUUUCUCACGAAUGUUUUAAGUUCAGGCCUUAACUUCUUACUGAGCUUAGACGAGUUAAUAAUAGUUUCGUUUACCAACAGUUAAAACUUUUUAGUUUUUUUUGUUAAGAUUGUUAACAUGUUUCAGACUAGACCGUGAAAAAU
This is a long non-coding RNA of Raphanus sativus (radish), 913 nucleotides long. RefSeq lists it as uncharacterized. The transcript has 5 exons. Lineage: Eukaryota; Viridiplantae; Streptophyta; Magnoliopsida; Brassicales; Brassicaceae. The record is from RefSeq and is a predicted model, not a curated record.